RNAcentral lists this ribosomal RNA (547 nucleotides) under uncultured bacterium. RNAcentral's name for it is "bacterial SSU rRNA". It matches the Rfam family "Bacterial small subunit ribosomal RNA", at positions 355 to 894 of the family's 1533-position model. The record is from RNAcentral.
UAGGGAAUAUUGGACAAUGGGGGCAACCCUGAUCCAGCGACGCCGCGUGUGUGAAGAAGGCCUGCGGGUUGUAAAGCACUUUUAGUGGGGAUGAAAAGCUCAGGGCUAAUACCCUUGAGUCUUGACCUAACCCAAAGAAAAAGCACCGGCUAACUCUGUGCCAGCAGCCGCGGUAAUACAGAGGGUGCAAGCGUUAAUCGGAAUUACUGGGCGUAAAGCGUGCGUAGACGGUUUUGUAAGUCGGAUGUGAAAUCCCCGGGCUCAACCUGGGAAUUGCAUUCGAAACUGCAAAGCUAGGGUGCGGAAGAGGGAAGCGGAAUUUCCGGUGUAGCGGUGAAAUGCGUAGAUAUCGGAAGGAACAUCAGUGGCGAAGGCGGCUUCCUGGUCCAGCACCGACGUUCAGGCACGAAAGCGUGGGGAGCAAACAGGAUUAGAUACCCUGGUAGUCCACGCCAUAAACGAUGAGAACUAGACGUUGAGAGGGUAAGCCUCCCAGUGUCGUAGCUAACGCGCUAAGUUCUCCGCCUGGGGAGUACGGCCGCAAGGU